UUACUUCGGUUUGAAGUCUUUUAUGACUGAGUGGCGGACGGGUGAGUAACGCGUGGGUAACCUGCCUCAUACAGGGGGAUAGCAGCUGGAAACGGCUGGUAAUACCGCAUAAGCGCACGGUAUCGCAUGAUACAGUGUGAAAAACUCCGGUGGUAUGAGAUGGACCCGCGUCUGAUUAGCUGGUUGGUGAGGUAACGGCCCACCAAGGCGACGAUCAGUAGCCGACCUGAGAGGGUGACCGGCCACAUUGGGACUGAGACACGGCCCAGACUCC
RNAcentral lists this ribosomal RNA (274 nucleotides) under uncultured Lachnospiraceae bacterium. RNAcentral describes it as "partial 16S ribosomal RNA". It matches the Rfam family "Bacterial small subunit ribosomal RNA", at positions 64 to 339 of the family's 1533-position model. The record is from RNAcentral. Lineage: Bacteria; Bacillati; Bacillota; Clostridia; Lachnospirales; Lachnospiraceae.